CUGUAAACUAACCUUUUUAUUGCAACAGGUUCCUUUUAAAUGAUCCAGUGUAAUAACUACUGCUUGUGUCUUCUAUGUCUCACAUUAUGUGUUCUUUUAAAUUGUGGUAUAUAGCCUGAAUCAGACAUCAUGGACAAAAGGUUUUUACCUGUGUUACUAAGGGCUCUUGGAGACUGACCGGUCUAAAGGUUUGCCAUGCCUUUAAAACAUGGUACAGUAUAAAUUUUUAAGUCUCUGAGAGUUCUGAAAGAUUCAGGUGAAACCAUGUCUGUUUAAUCUGGUCCAGAUGUUUGUUCAAUUUCUAUAGGAUUUAAGUUGAUGCAGCAUCAUCUCAGAUUAGUUAAUGGAAGUUUUAGACAAAUAGUUGAGUUAUGAGCGCGCUAUAUAAAUGGAUCCUUUCUUUAAAUACAAUACUAUAGUAGAUUAAAGUAAUGAAGUUAAUUAAGAAAAUGUAUACAUAAGAAUCCCUAAAAUAAAUCUAAACUAAAAUUGGUAUACUUUCCAAUAAUAUGUUCUGAAUACAGCUGUUAACUCUUUAUUUUGUGUAAAUGGUGAUUGUGAUAAUGUGUGAUAAGUGUGCAGUUUAACUUGAAAGUGGUUUAAUUUAUGUUGCUGUAUUGUUUAAAUUAUAUGUGAAUCAGUUUGUCACAGUCUAGUGAUACUGAUAAGAAUGACAACCAAAUAACCUAGCAAAUAACUGUUUUAUUAGUUGUUGAAUACUAGCGUUUUGGCCAAGAAUAGUUGGAGAUUUGGAGGUGUUAAAGAUUGCUUUUAUAUUGUGUCUAUCUGUGUUUCCUAGGAGGGAGACAGAGUGUGUAGUUGUGUGCCCAUAAAUGUGAUUUCUGUAUUGGCAUAUCUGCUGGGUACCCAUUAUGUGUUUCUACAAAGAUAUUGUUUUAUGAGAUGACUAAUAUUACAUGGGAUGCUGAGUAUGAGUUAUAUGGUUUGAAAUGAAUUGGUGAUUAUGAGCUUAGUACUUCAGUAAGAUGUGCUAAAAUUUGGAACAAGGUGGAAGCUGAAAUGUUGGGAUUAUGGAAGAAUAAGCAGUCUAUAUUCACUGCUUUGGCAUUUAAGCGGGAUGCAAAGGAAGAGAUUGGUAAUAUGAUUUUUGUAAAGAAAUUUUACAAGUGUUGGAAGGAUGAGGCAGGUUUGAUGUCUGGAGAUGAUAUAGAUCUCUUUAAAUACAGUCAUGCCUUGGUAAUAUGUUGCCACAGUAUUCUUUGCUUGUGAAACAAUUGAUCAGACUGGGCCAAUUUGGAUAGCUCAGAUUUUCUUACCAAGGUUAUAGAAAAGGAAAAUGCAGGUUGUUUUGAAUUAAGAAAAGAUUUAGGAAAGUAAGGUUGCUUAUUAUGCUCAGGGAUUGCAACAUAUUAUGUCCAGCUACACAGGCUGAGAGCGAGGAUGGGAUGGAGCACAUAAAGCCAGUGGAAGGGGUGGUCAAAGAGGGGCAAGGGGAUGGAGACAGGGAAAUCAGGGUUAUAGGGGCAGGGGUAACCAAGGAGGAAUAGACAGGAACACUUGUUUCAACUGUGGCCAAUAUGGCCACUGGAGGAAUGAGUGUCCACACCCCAGGAAACCCCACACACCCCAACAACCCCACAAUUCUCAAAAUAUGCCCGGUAGGCAAGAACAACACCAGACCCACUCCCAACACCACUGGCCAGCAUAUCGCUUAGUUCAGGACUUUAGAGCCCUGAAUAGUUUAAUUGUGCCCAUUUCACCCAUUGUCCCUGAUGUGACAUCCCUCAUUACAGCCAUUCCACAUGAUGCCACUUGCUUCACUGUCAUUGAUUUAAGUAAUGCAUUUUUUUCUAUACCUAUUGAUCAAGAGACACAGCUACUUAUGGUUUUUACUUUUUGAAGGCUGUCAGUUUACCUGGACACGCUUACCCAAGGCUAUGUGGAUUCCCCAGCUGUUUAUUCGUUGGUACUCCAACAUACUCUAAAAAACAUG
RNAcentral lists this long non-coding RNA (1954 nucleotides) under Pelobates cultripes (western spadefoot toad). Lineage: Eukaryota; Metazoa; Chordata; Amphibia; Anura; Pelobatidae. The record is from RNAcentral.